GGGGCGGUAGUCUAGCUUGGUAUGAUUCUGGAUUUGGGAUCCAGAGAUCACCGGUUCAAAUCCGGUCCGCCCCACCA
Molecule: transfer RNA, 77 nt
Filed under: Candidatus Odinarchaeum yellowstonii
Lineage: Archaea; Promethearchaeati; Candidatus Odinarchaeota; Candidatus Odinarchaeia; Candidatus Odinarchaeales; Candidatus Odinarchaeaceae
Also listed under: 1 other name
Description: tRNA-Pro
Rfam family: tRNA
About the family: Transfer RNA (tRNA) molecules are approximately 80 nucleotides in length. Their secondary structure includes four short double-helical elements and three loops (D, anti-codon, and T loops).
Source: RNAcentral